GAUGAAGAACGUAGCGAAAUGCGAUAAGUAGUGUGAAUUGCAGAAUUCAGUGAAUCAUCUAAUCUUUGAACGCACAUUGCGCCCCUUGGUAUUCCAUGGGGCAUGCCUGUUCGAGCGUCAUUUGUACCUUCAAGCUCUGCUUGGUGUUGGGUGUUUGUCUCGCCUCUGCGUGUAGACUCGCCUUAAAACAAUUGGCAGCCGGCGUAUUGAUUUCGGAGCGCAGUACAUCUCGCGCUUUGCACUCAUAACGACGACGUCCAAAAGUACAUUUUUACACUCUUGACCUCGGAUCAGGUAGGGAUACCCGCUGAACUUAAGCAUAUCAAUAAGCGGAGGA
Molecule: unclassified non-coding RNA, 337 nt
Filed under: soil metagenome
Description: partial contains 5.8S ribosomal RNA, internal transcribed spacer 2, and large subunit ribosomal RNA
Rfam family: 5.8S ribosomal RNA (bases 1-120)
Source: RNAcentral